UUUGAUCAUGGCUCAGAUUGAACGCUGGCGGUAGGCUUAACACAUGCAAGUCGAGCGGAAACGAUGUAGCUUGCUACAGGCGUCGAGCGGCGGACGGGUGAGUAACGCGUAGGAAUCUGCCUAGUAGUGGGGGACAACCUGUGGAAACGCAGGCUAAUACCGCAUAAGCCCUGAGGGGGAAAGGAGGGGAUCUUCGGACCUUUCGCUAUUAGAUGAGCCUGCGUGAGAUUAGCUAGUUGGUGAGGUAAAGGCUCACCAAGGCGACGAUCUCUAGCUGGUCUGAGAGGAUGAUCAGCCACACUGGGACUGAGACACGGCCCAGACUCCUACGGGAGGCAGCAGUGGGGAAUAUUGGACAAUGGGCGCAAGCCUGAUCCAGCCAUACCGCGUGUGUGAAGAAGGCCCUAGGGUUGUAAAGCACUUUCAGAAGGGAGGAAAGGUUGAUGUUUAAUACACAUUAGCUGUGACGUUACCUUCAGAAGAAGCACCGGCUAACUCUGUGC
RNAcentral lists this ribosomal RNA (503 nucleotides) under Alteromonas sp. RNAcentral describes it as "bacterial SSU rRNA". It matches the Rfam family "Bacterial small subunit ribosomal RNA", at positions 12 to 508 of the family's 1533-position model. Lineage: Bacteria; Pseudomonadati; Pseudomonadota; Gammaproteobacteria; Alteromonadales; Alteromonadaceae. The record is from RNAcentral.